AUUGAACGCUGGCGGCAUGCCUUACACAUGCAAGUCGAACGGCAGCACGGGAGCUUGCUCCUGGUGGCGAGUGGCGAACGGGUGAGUAAUACAUCGGAACGUACCCUGAAGUGGGGGAUAACGUAGCGAAAGUUACGCUAAUACCGCAUAUUCUGUGAGCAGGAAAGAGGGGGAUCGCAAGACCUCUUGCUUUAGGAGCGGCCGAUGUCGGAUUAGCUAGUUGGUGAGGUAAAGGCUCACCAAGGCGACGAUCCGUAGCGGGUCUGAGAGGAUGAUCCGCCACACUGGGACUGAGACACGGCCCAGACUCCUACGGGAGGCAGCAGUGGGGAAUUUUGGACAAUGGGCGCAAGCCUGAUCCAGCCAUGCCGCGUGAGUGAAGAAGGCCUGUGU
RNAcentral lists this ribosomal RNA (393 nucleotides) under uncultured bacterium. RNAcentral's name for it is "bacterial SSU rRNA". It matches the Rfam family "Bacterial small subunit ribosomal RNA", at positions 30 to 421 of the family's 1533-position model. The record is from RNAcentral.